This 243-nucleotide ribosomal RNA is filed under the name uncultured Lactobacillus sp. RNAcentral describes it as "partial 16S ribosomal RNA". It matches the Rfam family "Bacterial small subunit ribosomal RNA", at positions 118 to 354 of the family's 1533-position model. The record is from RNAcentral. Lineage: Bacteria; Bacillati; Bacillota; Bacilli; Lactobacillales; Lactobacillaceae.
UGGGGAACCUGCCCCAUAGUCUGGGAUACCACUUGGAAACAGGUGCUAAUACCGGAUAAGAAAGCAGAUCGCAUGAUCAGCUUUUAAAAGGCGGCGUAAGCUGUCGCUAUGGGAUGGCCCCGCGGUGCAUUAGUUAGUUGGUAAGGUAAAGGCUUACCAAGGCGAUGAUGCAUAGCCGAGUUGAGAGACUGAUCGGCCACAUUGGGACUGAGACACGGCCCAAACUCCUACGGAGGCAGCAGA